RNAcentral lists this transfer RNA (93 nucleotides) under Zavarzinia sp. RNAcentral's name for it is "tRNA-Ser". It matches the Rfam family "tRNA". From Rfam's summary of the family: Transfer RNA (tRNA) molecules are approximately 80 nucleotides in length. RNAcentral also lists the same sequence under 1 other name. Lineage: Bacteria; Pseudomonadati; Pseudomonadota; Alphaproteobacteria; Rhodospirillales; Zavarziniaceae. The record is from RNAcentral.
GGAGUCGUGGCCGAGCGGCUGAAGGCGGCGGUUUGCUAAACCGUUAUAGGGGGUAAACCCCUAUCGAGGGUUCGAAUCCCUCCGACUCCGCCA